Psammomys obesus (fat sand rat) is the source of this 590-nucleotide long non-coding RNA. RefSeq lists it as uncharacterized. The record is from RefSeq and is a predicted model, not a curated record. Lineage: Eukaryota; Metazoa; Chordata; Mammalia; Rodentia; Muridae. The transcript is spliced from 3 exons.
CACUGGUGGCCUGCCUGCGCGUCACGGUUUUCCUAGCCAGCGUUCCCACGCGGACCCUUCCCAGCUUGCUGUCCUGACCCCAUGCCUUCAUUCAUCCACGCAGUAUCUGAGUGGCAACGGUGUGGGCGUCGUAGUGGCGCAGAACUCUGAUCAGUUCUAACUUUAGGUUCUAACUUUAUCGCAUGGGCUGGCCUUGAACUCACCGUCCCCCUGCCUCAGUCUCUCCAGACCAGAGUGUCCAGCUUAAAACUAGAAAGGUUGAAUGUUUGAAUUCACCGGCUGCACCAGAACGUGGGAUGCAGAGGAAGAAGGACCAGAAGUUCAAGACAGAGUGUCUCUGUGUAGCCUGGGCUGUCCUGGGCUCAUUUUGUAGACCAGGCUGGUCUCGAACUCACAGAGAUCUGCCUGCCCCUGCCUCCUGAGUGCUGAGAUUACAGGCGUGCACCACCGCACACAGCUUGUGAGUCUGUAUUUUAUAACUAAAAGUCAGAAGAAGAAGAAGAAGAAGAGGAAGAAGAGGAGGAAGAGGAGGAAGAGGAGGAAGAGGAGGAAGAAGAAGAAGAAGAAGAAGAAGAAGAAGAAGAAGAAGA